UCGACGACUCGGACUAUGGCGAGAAGUGGCAAACUGCUCAGUAACACGUAGCUAACCUACCCUCAGGACGGAGACAACCCCGGGAAACUGGGGUUAAUCCCUGAUAGGCGUGGAUUCCUGGAAUGGUGUCACGCCGAAACGUUAACACACCAUGUUUGUGUACACGCCUGAGGAUGGGGCUGCGGCCGAUCAGGCAGUUGGUGAGGUAACGGCUCACCAAACCUUUGACCGGUACGGGCCGUGAGAGCGGUAGCCCGGAGAUGGACACUGAGACAAGGAUCCAGGACCUACGGGUCGCAGCCGGUACGAAACCUCCGCAAUGCACGCAAGUGCGAUGGGGUUACCUCGAGUGCCGCCUGAAGAAGGCGGCUUUUCCAUUGUGUAAUGAGCCGUGGGAAUAAGGGGGGGGCAAGACUGGUGUCAGCCGCCGCGGUAACACCAGCCCCCCGAGUGGUGGGGAUGUUUAUUUGGCCUAAAACGUCCGUAGCCAGCUAGGUAAAUCUCUCGUUAAAUCCAGCGUCCUAAGCGUUGGGCUGCGAGAGAGACUGCCAAGCUAGAGGGUGGGAGAGGUCAGCGGUGUUUCUGGGGUAGGGGCGAAAUCCAUUGAUCCCAGGAGGACCACCAGUGGCGAGGGCUGCUGACUAGAACACGCCUGACGGUGAGGGACGAAAGCUGGGGUAGCGAAUCGGAUUAGAUACCCGAGUAGUCCCAGCCGUAAACGAUGCAGGCUAGGUGUUGGGUUGGCCACGU
This 750-nucleotide ribosomal RNA is filed under the name uncultured archaeon. RNAcentral's name for it is "bacterial SSU rRNA". It matches the Rfam family "Archaeal small subunit ribosomal RNA", at positions 58 to 788 of the family's 1478-position model. The record is from RNAcentral.